RNAcentral lists this ribosomal RNA (495 nucleotides) under uncultured bacterium. Its description in RNAcentral is "partial 16S ribosomal RNA". It matches the Rfam family "Bacterial small subunit ribosomal RNA", at positions 28 to 507 of the family's 1533-position model. The record is from RNAcentral.
GACGAACGCUGGCGGCGUGCCUAAUACAUGCCAGUAGAACGCUGAAGGAGGAGCUUGCUUCUCUGGAUGAGUUGCGAACGGGUGAGUAACGCGUAGGUAACCUGCCUGGUAGCGGGGGAUAACUAUUGGAAACGAUAGCUAAUACCGCAUAAUAUUGACUAUUGCAUGAUAGUCAGUUGAAAGGUGCAACUGCACCACUACCAGAUGGACCUGCGUUGUAUUAGCUAGUUGGUGGGGUAACGGCUCACCAAGGCGACGAUACCUAGCCGACCUGAGAGGGUGAUCGGCCACACUGGGACUGAGACACGGCCCAGACUCCUACGGGAGGCAGCAGUAGGGAAUCUUCGGCAAUGGACGGAAGUCUGACCGAGCAACGCCGCGGGAGUGAAGAAGGUUUUCGGAUCGUAAAGCUCUGUUGUAAGAGAAGAACGAGUGUGAGAGUGGAAAGCUCACACUGUGACGGUAUCUUACCAGAAAGGGACGGCUAACUACGUG